Molecule: ribosomal RNA, 1403 nt
Filed under: Klebsiella sp. TP1MC
Lineage: Bacteria; Pseudomonadati; Pseudomonadota; Gammaproteobacteria; Enterobacterales; Enterobacteriaceae
Description: 16S ribosomal RNA
Rfam family: Bacterial small subunit ribosomal RNA
Source: RNAcentral
AGUCGAGCGGUAGCACAGAGAGCUUGCUCUCGGGUGACGAGCGGCGGACGGGUGAGUAAUGUCUGGGAAACUGCCUGAUGGAGGGGGAUAACUACUGGAAACGGUAGCUAAUACCGCAUAACGUCGCAAGACCAAAGUGGGGGACCUUCGGGCCUCAUGCCAUCAGAUGUGCCCAGAUGGGAUUAGCUAGUAGGUGGGGUAACGGCUCACCUAGGCGACGAUCCCUAGCUGGUCUGAGAGGAUGACCAGCCACACUGGAACUGAGACACGGUCCAGACUCCUACGGGAGGCAGCAGUGGGGAAUAUUGCACAAUGGGCGCAAGCCUGAUGCAGCCAUGCCGCGUGUAUGAAGAAGGCCUUCGGGUUGUAAAGUACUUUCAGCGGGGAGGAAGGCGAUAAGGUUAAUAACCUUGUCGAUUGACGUUACCCGCAGAAGAAGCACCGGCUAACUCCGUGCCAGCAGCCGCGGUAAUACGGAGGGUGCAAGCGUUAAUCGGAAUUACUGGGCGUAAAGCGCACGCAGGCGGUCUGUCAAGUCGGAUGUGAAAUCCCCGGGCUCAACCUGGGAACUGCAUUCGAAACUGGCAGGCUAGAGUCUUGUAGAGGGGGGUAGAAUUCCAGGUGUAGCGGUGAAAUGCGUAGAGAUCUGGAGGAAUACCGGUGGCGAAGGCGGCCCCCUGGACAAAGACUGACGCUCAGGUGCGAAAGCGUGGGGAGCAAACAGGAUUAGAUACCCUGGUAGUCCACGCCGUAAACGAUGUCGAUUUGGAGGUUGUGCCCUUGAGGCGUGGCUUCCGGAGCUAACGCGUUAAAUCGACCGCCUGGGGAGUACGGCCGCAAGGUUAAAACUCAAAUGAAUUGACGGGGGCCCGCACAAGCGGUGGAGCAUGUGGUUUAAUUCGAUGCAACGCGAAGAACCUUACCUGGUCUUGACAUCCACAGAACUUAGCAGAGAUGCUUUGGUGCCUUCGGGAACUGUGAGACAGGUGCUGCAUGGCUGUCGUCAGCUCGUGUUGUGAAAUGUUGGGUUAAGUCCCGCAACGAGCGCAACCCUUAUCCUUUGUUGCCAGCGGUUAGGCCGGGAACUCAAAGGAGACUGCCAGUGAUAAACUGGAGGAAGGUGGGGAUGACGUCAAGUCAUCAUGGCCCUUACGACCAGGGCUACACACGUGCUACAAUGGCAUAUACAAAGAGAAGCGACCUCGCGAGAGCAAGCGGACCUCAUAAAGUAUGUCGUAGUCCGGAUUGGAGUCUGCAACUCGACUCCAUGAAGUCGGAAUCGCUAGUAAUCGUAGAUCAGAAUGCUACGGUGAAUACGUUCCCGGGCCUUGUACACACCGCCCGUCACACCAUGGGAGUGGGUUGCAAAAGAAGUAGGUAGCUUAACCUUCGGGAGGGCGCUU